UUGAAGAGUUUGAUCAUGGCUCAGAUUGAACGCUGGCGGCAGGCCUAACACAUGCAAGUCGAACGGUAACAGGAAGCAGCUUGCUGCUUUGCUGACGAGUGGCGGACGGGUGAGUAAUGUCUGGGAAACUGCCUGAUGGAGGGGGAUAACUACUGGAAACGGUGGCUAAUACCGCAUAAUGUCGCAAGACCAAAGAGGGGGACCUUCGGGCCUCUUGCCAUCAGAUGUGCCCAGAUGGGAUUAGCUUGUUGGUGAGGUAACGGCUCACCAAGGCGACGAUCCCUAGCUGGUCUGAGAGGAUGACCAGCCACACUGGAACUGAGACACGGUCCAGACUCCUACGGGAGGCAGCAGUGGGGAAUAUUGCACAAUGGGCGCAAGCCUGAUGCAGCCAUGCCGCGUGUAUGAAGAAGGCCUUCGGGUUGUAAAGUACUUUCAGCGGGGAGGAAGGUGUUGUGGUUAAUAACCGCAGCAAUUGACGUUACCCGCAGAAGAAGCACCGGCUAACUCCGUGCCAGCAGCCGCGGUAAUACGGAGGGUGCAAGCGUUAAUCGGAAUUACUGGGCGUAAAGCGCACGCAGGCGGUCUGUCAAGUCGGAUGUGAAAUCCCCGGGCUCAACCUGGGAACUGCAUUCGAAACUGGCAGGCUUGAGUCUUGUAGAGGGGGGUAGAAUUCCAGGUGUAGCGGUGAAAUGCGUAGAGAUCUGGAGGAAUACCGGUGGCGAAGGCGGCCCCCUGGACAAAGACUGACGCUCAGGUGCGAAAGCGUGGGGAGCAAACAGGAUUAGAUACCCUGGUAGUCCACGCCGUAAACGAUGUCUACUUGGAGGUUGUGCCCUUGAGGCGUGGCUUCCGGAGCUAACGCGUUAAGUAGACCGCCUGGGGAGUACGGCCGCAAGGUUAAAACUCAAAUGAAUUGACGGGGGCCCGCACAAGCGGUGGAGCAUGUGGUUUAAUUCGAUGCAACGCGAAGAACCUUACCUGGUCUUGACAUCCACGGAAGUUUUCAGAGAUGAGAAUGUGCCUUCGGGAACCGUGAGACAGGUGCUGCAUGGCUGUCGUCAGCUCGUGUUGUGAAAUGUUGGGUUAAGUCCCGCAACGAGCGCAACCCUUAUCCUUUGUUGCCAGCGGUCCGGCCGGGAACUCAAAGGAGACUGCCAGUGAUAAACUGGAGGAAGGUGGGGAUGACGUCAAGUCAUCAUGGCCCUUACGACCAGGGCUACACACGUGCUACAAUGGCGCAUACAAAGAGAAGCGACCUCGCGAGAGCAAGCGGACCUCAUAAAGUGCGUCGUAGUCCGGAUUGGAGUCUGCAACUCGACUCCAUGAAGUCGGAAUCGCUAGUAAUCGUGGAUCAGAAUGCCACGGUGAAUACGUUCCCGGGCCUUGUACACACCGCCCGUCACACCAUGGGAGUGGGUUGCAAAAGAAGUAGGUAGCUUAACCUUCGGGAGGGCGCUUACCACUUUGUGAUUCAUGACUGGGGUGAAGUCGUAACAAGGUAACCGUAGGGGAACCUGCGGUUGGAUCACCUCCUU
Molecule: ribosomal RNA, 1538 nt
Filed under: Salmonella enterica subsp. enterica serovar Oranienburg
Lineage: Bacteria; Pseudomonadati; Pseudomonadota; Gammaproteobacteria; Enterobacterales; Enterobacteriaceae
Also listed under: 1 other name
Description: bacterial SSU rRNA
Rfam family: Bacterial small subunit ribosomal RNA
Source: RNAcentral